RNAcentral lists this ribosomal RNA (337 nucleotides) under uncultured Pseudomonadota bacterium. Its description in RNAcentral is "bacterial SSU rRNA". It matches the Rfam family "Bacterial small subunit ribosomal RNA", at positions 29 to 351 of the family's 1533-position model. Lineage: Bacteria; Pseudomonadati; Pseudomonadota. The record is from RNAcentral.
AACGAACGCUGGCGGCGUGCCUAAUACAUGCAAGUCGAACGAGAAAGUGGCUUCGGUCAUGAGUACAGUGGCAGACGGGUGAGUAAUACAUAGGUAACCUACCUCCGAGAUGGGGACAACCUUCCGAAAGGAGGGCUAAUACCGAAUGAGACCACGGCUACAUACGUAGUCGCGGUUAAAGGUGGCCUCUACUUGUAAGCUAUCGCUUGGAGAUGGGCUUAUGCACCAUCAGCUAGUUGUGAGGUAACGGCUCACCAAGGCUUUGACGGUUAGCUGAUCUGAGAGGUUGAUCAGCCACACUGGAACUGAGACACGGUCCAGACUCCUACGGGAGCAG